UACAGAGGUCCCAAGCGUUGUUCGGAUUUACUGGGCGUAAAGGGUGCGUAGGCGGUCGGGUAAGUCUGGUGUGAAAUUUCGGAGCUUAACUCCGAAACGGCAUCGGAUACUAUUCGGCUCGAGGUUGGGAAGGGAGACUGGAAUUCUCGGUGUAGCAGUGAAAUGCGUAGAUAUCGAGAGGAACACCAGUGGCGAAGGCGAGUCUCUGGACCAAUCCUGACGCUGAGGCACGAAAGCCAGGGGAG
RNAcentral lists this ribosomal RNA (245 nucleotides) under uncultured bacterium. Its description in RNAcentral is "partial 16S ribosomal RNA". It matches the Rfam family "Bacterial small subunit ribosomal RNA", at positions 524 to 768 of the family's 1533-position model. The record is from RNAcentral.